RNAcentral lists this long non-coding RNA (1182 nucleotides) under Toxoplasma gondii VEG. Lineage: Eukaryota; Apicomplexa; Conoidasida; Eucoccidiorida; Sarcocystidae. The record is from RNAcentral.
AGGACCGUCAGCGCAGCAUCGGCGCCAGCUGCUGGCGCACUGAGGAAAUCUGCAUGGCAGCAAGCCGUUUGUUGUGGCGUUGUCCCUUUUGCAGGCCCACUGCAGCAUAUAACCCAGGAAAUCAUCGCUUAGGAGAAUGCUCACGAAAAUAUGGGAAUGCUGCUUCAAUAGAAAAGAUGCAUACGGAUUUGACAGUUCAUCGGCGGCGAGGGAUUCUUCAGCGCACAAGCCGGCAAGGGUACAGACAGGAAAACCGCUGGUCAAGAGCUGUGACAGAGUUUUCGUCACAUGCGCUUAAUAAAUCCGCCUGGACUGAUAUGCAUGUCCAGCACACAAAAAUGCUAUGGAUGCGCUAUUUGUGGCGUGUACAUGUUGGCUCACGAGGUUAGAGGCGAGAUACCGCGUCCACGGUCGAAACGGGUCGCCAACCGACCCCCAGUCUGUUCAACAGAAAAAAGCACGUCACGUCCACCGCGGGUAACGGAAAAGUUCCUCUUUAAAAAGCCUAUACCAGACGAGUAGAAGAAUCGAAGCAGAAAACCGGGCAUGAAGCAGCUGAGCCACUUGCCGGCGUUUCCGGUGUGCCACGCGGGCAUUCAUGCCACAGGUCUGCUCAUUGGCGUCGGAACCGCAGAGGGUGAUGUGCUGAGAAAGGGAACGUCAUCGGUUAAUGCCUCAGAACGAAAUGCAAAGCAACUCAUUCAGCUAUGUAAAGAGAGCAACGGAAGGGCGAAUGGAGGUUUAUCCCCCCCUCACGGAGGAUGCCCGGCCGCUACCGCCCAACCAGUUCAUUCAUUCCCGUGAUACGUGUGCUAGCUCUCUCCCUGCAACUGACUUGAUACCUUCAGGCAUCAGGCGUUUUCCAAUCCACUGAUAAACACAGCACAGCUGGUUGCGGCAGGUGGGGGAGCCAUGUCGCGAUGUCUUGCCUACACGGAAGUAGCCGCUGGUGUGUCUGUUAUCCUUGUUGCGGUUUUACAGAAGCGUGCUUCAGUGAUAGGAACAGACAAGACUACUGGUGAGGGAGUUCCUCGCUUUUUGCUUCGUGGCCUUACUCUUGCCACCGGCGUCCCACUCAAUUUAUAGAAGAAUCAGUGUUGACAUGCUCUAACACCGAACUGGAGAUUGGCUGGUCUUGUGCACGAAUACUAGAUGUGAAGAACAGCCUCAGGCCAUCAGAAC